GACGAACGCUGGCGGCGUGCUUAACACAUGCAAGUCGAACGGUGAAGCCUUCGGGUGGAUCAGUGGCGAACGGGUGAGUAACACGUGAGCAAUCUGCCCUUGACUCUGGGAUAACUUCGGGAAACCGGAGCUAAUACCGGAUAUGACAUCUGGCCGCAUGGUCUGGGUGUGGAAAGAUUUAUCGGUCAAGGAUGAGCUCGCGGCCUAUCAGCUUGUUGGNGGGUAAUGGCCCACCAAGGCGACGACGGGUAGCCGGCCUGAGAGGGCGACCGGCCACACUGGGACUGAGACACGGCCCAGACUCCUACGGGAGGCAGCAGUGGGGAAUAUUGCGCAAUGGGCGGAAGCCUGACGCAGCGACGCCGCGUGAGGGAUGAAGGCCUCGGUCGUAACUCUU
RNAcentral lists this ribosomal RNA (397 nucleotides) under uncultured bacterium. Its description in RNAcentral is "bacterial SSU rRNA". It matches the Rfam family "Bacterial small subunit ribosomal RNA", at positions 28 to 433 of the family's 1533-position model. The record is from RNAcentral.